This 441-nucleotide ribosomal RNA is filed under the name uncultured bacterium. RNAcentral describes it as "bacterial SSU rRNA". It matches the Rfam family "Bacterial small subunit ribosomal RNA", at positions 338 to 795 of the family's 1533-position model. The record is from RNAcentral.
CCUANGGGUGGCAGCAGUAAGGAAUAUUGCGCAAUGGGCGAAAGCCUGACGCAGCAACGCCGCGUGCGGGACGAAGGCCCUCGGGUUGUAAACCGCUUUCAGUAGGGAAGAAAAUGACGGUACCUACAGAAGAAGCCCCGGCCAACUACGUGCCAGCAGCCGCGGUAACACGUAGGGGGCGAGCGUUGUCCGGAUUCAUUGGGCGUAAAGAGCUCGUAGGCGGUUUCGUAAGUCGGAUGUGAAAACUCCAGGCUCAACUUGGAGACGCCAUUCGAUACUGCGAUGACUAGAGUCCGGUAGGGGAGUGUGGAAUUCCUGGUGUAGCGGUGAAAUGCGCAGAUAUCAGGAGGAACACCGGCGGCGAAGGCGGCACUCUGGGCCGGUACUGACGCUGAGGAGCGAAAGCGUGGGUAGCAAACAGGAUUAGAUACCCCUNUANUC